RNAcentral lists this ribosomal RNA (417 nucleotides) under Gammarus sp. lacustris-type SB55. RNAcentral's name for it is "partial 16S ribosomal RNA". It matches the Rfam family "Bacterial large subunit ribosomal RNA", at positions 1948 to 2618 of the family's 2925-position model. Lineage: Eukaryota; Metazoa; Arthropoda; Malacostraca; Amphipoda; Gammaridae. The record is from RNAcentral.
GUGCUAAGGUAGCAUAAUCAUUUGCUACUUAAUUGGUAGCUGGGAUGAAAGGUUAAACUAGUUUACUCAGUUUGUUGUGUUUUGUAAGAAAUUAAAGUCGAGGUAAGAAUUCUUUGAUCUGCUAGGGGACGAUAAGACCCUAGAAGCUUAACAAUAAGAGUAUUUAUUAGUUAUAAAAAUUAAUUUGUUUUACUGGGGCGGUAAAGGUAUAUAAACUAUUAGUGUAUUGAUAGAUCCUUAAAAUAAAGAUAAAACGGGAAAGUUACUCUAGGGGUAACAGUGCAAUAUUUUUGGAGAGAUCAUAUCGAUAAAAAUGUUUGCAACCUCGAUGUUGAAUUAAGAUGUCUACGUGAAGCAGCAGGUACGUGAGAAGGUUUGUUCAACCUUUAACUUUUUACGUGAUCUGAGUUCAAACCG